UAACGCGUGGGUAACCUGCCUCGUACAGGGGGAUAACAGUUAGAAAUGACUGCUAAUACCGCAUAAGACCACAGCACCGCAUGGUGCAGGGGUAAAAACUCCGGUGGUAUGAGAUGGACCCGCGUCUGAUUAGCUAGUUGGUAAGGUAACGGCUUACCAAGGCGACGAUCAGUAGCCGACCUGAGAGGGUGACCGGCCACAUUGGGACUGAGACACGGCCCAAACUCCUACGGGAGGCAGCAGUGGGGAAUAUUGCACAAUGGGGGAAACCCUGAUGCAGCGACGCCGCGUGAGCGAAGAAGUAUUUCGGUAUGUAAAGCUCUAUCAGCAGGGAAGAAAAUGACGGUACCUGACUAAGAAGCACCGGCUAAAUACGUGCCAGCAGCCGCGGUAAUACGUAUGGUGCAAGCGUUAUCCGGAUUUACUGGGUGUAAAGGGAGUGUAGACGGAUGGGCAAGUCUGAUGUGAAAACCCGGGGCUCAACCCCGGGACUGCAUUGGAAACUGUUCAUCUAGAGUGCUGGAGAGGUAAGUGGAAUUCCUAGUGUAGCGGUGAAAUGCGUAGAUAUUAGGAGGAACACCAGUGGCGAAGGCGGCUUACUGGACAGUAACUGACGUUGAGGCUCGAAAGCGUGGGAGCAAACAGGAUUAGAUACCCUGGUAGUCCACGCCGUAAACGAUGACUACUAGGUGU
Molecule: ribosomal RNA, 693 nt
Filed under: uncultured bacterium
Lineage: Bacteria
Description: bacterial SSU rRNA
Rfam family: Bacterial small subunit ribosomal RNA
Source: RNAcentral